This 465-nucleotide ribosomal RNA is filed under the name uncultured bacterium. RNAcentral describes it as "partial 16S ribosomal RNA". It matches the Rfam family "Bacterial small subunit ribosomal RNA", at positions 28 to 507 of the family's 1533-position model. The record is from RNAcentral.
GACGAACGCUGGCGGCGUGCUUAACACAUGCAAGUCGAACGGAAAGGCCCUGCUUGCAGUGUCCUCGAGUGGCGAACGGGUGAGUAACACGUGGGUGCUCUGCCCUGCACUUCGGGAUAAGCCUGGUAAUCUGGGUCUAAUACCGGAUAGGAGCCAUUUUUAUUGUGAUGGUUCGAAAGUUUUUUCGGUGUUGUAUGAGGUUGCGUCCUAUCUGCUUGUUGGUGGGGUCAUGGCCUACCUAGGCGGCUACGGGUAGCCGGCCUGGGUGAGUGGACGGCCAAAAUGGGACUGAGAGAAGGCACAGACAGCGAAGGGAGGCAGAAGGGGGGAAGAAUGAACAAGGGGAGCAAGGCGGAGGAAGAGAAGCCGCGGGGGGGAAGACGGGCUUCGGGGUGAAAAAAAGGUUCGGGAGGGAAGAAGCUUUUUGUGACGGUACCUAGAGAAGAAGCACCGGCUAACUACGUG